GAUGAACGCUGGCGGCGUGCCUAAUACAUGCAAGUCGAGCGAACAGACGAGGAGCUUGCUCCUCUGACGUUAGCGGCGGACGGGUGAGUAACACGUGGAUAACCUACCUAUAAGACUGGGAUAACUUCGGGAAACCGGAGCUAAUACCGGAUAAUAUAUUGAACCGCAUGGUUCAAUAGUGAAAGACGGUUUUGCUGUCACUUAUAGAUGGAUCCGCGCCGCAUUAGCUAGUUGGUAAGGUAACGGCUUACCAAGGCAACGACGCGUAGCCGACCUGAGAGGGUGAUCGGCCACACUGGAACUGAGACACGGUCCAGACUCCUACGGGAGGCAGCAGUAGGGAAUCUUCCGCAAUGGGCGAAAGCCUGACGGAGCAACGCCGCGUGAGUGAUGAAGGUCUUCGGAUCGUAAAACGCUGUUAUUAGGGAAGAACAAAUGUGUAAGUAACUAUGCACGUCUUGACGGUACCUAAUCAGAAAGCCACGGCUAACUACGU
Molecule: ribosomal RNA, 496 nt
Filed under: uncultured bacterium
Lineage: Bacteria
Description: partial 16S ribosomal RNA
Rfam family: Bacterial small subunit ribosomal RNA
Source: RNAcentral